Centrocercus urophasianus (Greater sage-grouse) is the source of this 696-nucleotide long non-coding RNA. RefSeq lists it as uncharacterized. The record is from RefSeq and is a predicted model, not a curated record. The transcript has 4 exons. NCBI's taxonomy places the organism in Eukaryota, Metazoa, Chordata, Aves, Galliformes, Phasianidae.
CUGCAACUGGGGAAGGAUCUCUUUCUAAAGAUCCCUCCCUAGUGGAUCUUUCCUCUGUGAACCUGGAAUCUUCUGAUACAGCUAUGCCUCUUAUAAACAUGAACAGCCUUUGGCUAGAUCAUCAGGAAGUUCUCUCUUUCUACACCAAAAGUAGAAUGUCAGCACAGAAUACGAAGUUACCUGGUCAACUCUGCAAGAUCUCAAAUUCUACAGCUACUUGAGUUGCACCAGACAUAUUUUCCAGGCUGAAUAUCUUGAAAUUCUUCCACCUUUGCUACCAAAGAGAAACUUGUGUAAAUUCUCACUUUGUCGUCACACCUGUUGGAAAUCACUGUUACAACUUAGGUGUGAAAAAAUGUGACUGAACUAUACGUAGUAAGGAAAGUACACACACCAAUCUCAAUUGUUACAGUAGAAAGAAUCUUUCCCAUAAAGAACAACGUGAUGAUUUUCCCACUGAACUUUCUGCCACGUAUCUGCAGAACUGCCACAGAUGUACAUGCACAUCCAACCUGAAAUCAGCCCUGAGAGUAGAUGGGUAUGUUUGAUGAAGAGGUCAAUUAAAACCACAGAAUCUUUCAGCACCCUGUGUCCCAGGUGUUGUAUGUAGCUAUGAAGUGUGGUGAGGAUGGCCCACCAGCCUUAUCACUCUACCUCAUAGGUUCUCAUAACCUAUAGGCAUUUAAAACACAUGAA